Molecule: ribosomal RNA, 254 nt
Filed under: uncultured bacterium
Lineage: Bacteria
Description: partial 16S ribosomal RNA
Rfam family: Bacterial small subunit ribosomal RNA
Source: RNAcentral
UACGUAGGGUGCGAGCGUUAAUCGGAAUUACUGGGCGUAAAGCGUGCGCAGGCGGUUUUGUAAGCCAGGUGUGAAAUCCCCGGGCUCAACCUGGGAAUGGCAUUUGGGACUGCAAGGCUGGAGUGCGGCAGAGGAGACUGGAAUUCCUGGUGUAGCAGUGAAAUGCGUAGAUAUCAGGAGGAACACCGAUGGCGAAGGCAGGUCUCUGGGCUGACACUGACGCUCAUGCACGGAAAGCGUGGGGAGCAAACAGG